Molecule: long non-coding RNA, 124 nt
Organism: Leopardus geoffroyi (Geoffroy's cat)
Lineage: Eukaryota; Metazoa; Chordata; Mammalia; Carnivora; Felidae
Exons: 3
Source: RefSeq, a predicted model, not a curated record
GGGGUGGGGCACGGGGGUUUCCACAUGAGCCCAAGAGAAGGGGGGGGGUCUUUAGGUGGUCUGUCUGGUUUCGUUUCUGCUGAAACGAAAGAAUGAGCAGCUGGUUUUAGGAGAUCGGAGGAGC